GCGGCCGAUCCGCCGCCAUCCGCCCGAGGAUGGGGGCACGGCCCAUCAGGUAGUUGGCGGGUUAAAGGCCCGCCAAGCCGAAGACGGGUAGGGGCGGUGAGAGCCGCGAGCCCCGAGAUCGGCACUGAGACAAGGGCCGAGGCCCUACGGGGUGCAGCAGGCGCGAAUACUCCGCAAUGCGGGCAACCGCGACGGGGCUACCCCGAGUGCCGGGCGAAGAGCCCGGCUUUUGCCCGGUCUAAAAAGCCGGGAGAAUAAGCGGGGGGCAAGUCUGGUGUCAGCCGCCGCGGUAAUACCAGCUCCGCGAGUGGUCGGGGUGUUUACUGGGCUUAAAGCGCCCGUAGCCGGCCCGGCAAGUCGCUCCUGAAAUCCCCGGGCUCAACCCGGGGGCGGGGGGCGAUACUGCCGGGCUAGGGGGCGGGAGAGGCCGCCGGUACUCCGGGGGUAGGGGCGAAAUCCGUUAAUCCCCGGAGGACCACCAGUGGCGAAAGCGGGCGGCCAGAACGCGCCCGACGGUGAGGGGCGAAAGCCGGGGGAGCAAAGGGGAUUAGAUACCCCUGUAGUCCCGGCCGUAAACGAUGCGGGCUAGCUGUCGGCCGGGCUUAGGGCCCGGCCGGUGGCGAAGGGAAACCGUUAAGCCCGCCGCCUGGGGAGUACGGCCGCAAGGCUGAAACUUAAAGGAAUUGGCGGGGGGGCACCACAAGGGGUGAAGCUUGCGGCUUAAUUGGAUUCAACGCCGGG
Molecule: ribosomal RNA, 741 nt
Filed under: uncultured Thermoproteales archaeon
Lineage: Archaea; Thermoproteati; Thermoproteota; Thermoprotei; Thermoproteales
Description: bacterial SSU rRNA
Rfam family: Archaeal small subunit ribosomal RNA
Source: RNAcentral